Long non-coding RNA from Lutra lutra (Eurasian river otter), 473 nucleotides. RefSeq lists it as uncharacterized. The record is from RefSeq and is a predicted model, not a curated record. Lineage: Eukaryota; Metazoa; Chordata; Mammalia; Carnivora; Mustelidae. The transcript is spliced from 3 exons.
CAAGGAUGCAGCCUUGAGAGAAUGUGUGGUUGAGGCCUUCAGGACCUGUAUCUGUGGCAGAAUCCUGUGAAGGGCACUGUAUGAACCUUUAAGAUGCUGGCGGCAGCCACGGAGAUCUGCUCGUCUGGCGGCUGCCUACGACAAGCCUCAUAAGUGCCAAACUGAGCAGCCUCAGAGAAGUAUCUGAGCAAGUCAGAGCAAUCUGAUUCCAUUUUGCUUCUGGUUGGAGCACUGGAACUCAGCUAUUCAGUUCUACUCAAGCAGAGAGGCUCUCUCUUUAACUAUCACAGUGAUUUCUGGCAAUUUAACAUUGUGUUACGCAGCAUGGAGAUAAUCACCAAUAGAGUAAGGAUCCUUGCAGGCAUCAGGGUUCCAUCGUCUGGCUGAUGGAUUCACACCUGUGUGUACAACCACUGAACUGGACUGACAUCCCAUGACCAGUAAGGAUGAGGAAGCAAAGCCUGGUAUGGGUC